CCAAAGUCGAUACGGAAAAUGUGUUAUUUAUUAAUUAAAGCUAACUUUUUCUUAUUUUUAGAAGAAGUAGAAGAUACAAGGAUGAUAUUGAAAGAAAGGUAUCACUUUCUGGUCCAUUGAUACAACAAACACUCAACAUUUUGAAACAGAUGGAUGGUAAAGUGAUGAAGAAUGAAUUUGAUAUUCAAAUUCUUGAUUUAUUGGCGAGUUCUUGGCCAGACAGACCACCAGUUGAGAAAAGCUGGAACUAUUGAAGGAUAUGAAGACUGGUUUAU
Long non-coding RNA from Solenopsis invicta (red fire ant), 275 nucleotides. RefSeq lists it as uncharacterized. The record is from RefSeq and is a predicted model, not a curated record. Lineage: Eukaryota; Metazoa; Arthropoda; Insecta; Hymenoptera; Formicidae. The transcript is spliced from 3 exons.